UUGGGGUACGACUCGUUUCA
This 20-nucleotide non-coding RNA is filed under the name Arabidopsis thaliana (thale cress). Lineage: Eukaryota; Viridiplantae; Streptophyta; Magnoliopsida; Brassicales; Brassicaceae. The record is from RNAcentral.